RNAcentral lists this ribosomal RNA (2794 nucleotides) under groundwater metagenome. Its description in RNAcentral is "bacterial LSU rRNA". It matches the Rfam family "Archaeal large subunit ribosomal RNA". The record is from RNAcentral.
AAUCCAUUAGGCGGAUGACUAAGCUCAAAACAAUGAAGAAGGGCGUGGCAAGCAGCGAAAUGCUUUUGGGAGGCGCAUGCAGCCUUUGAUCAAAAGAUUCCUUAAUGAGACUUCUCAAUCGCAAGAUUAAUCCGAAAGGAUGAAUAACGCAGGGAAUUGAAACGUCUUAGUACCUGCAGGAAAAGAAAUCAAUCGAGAUGCUGUAAGUAUCAGCGAGAGAAAGCAGCACAGAGCAAACUGAAUCCUAGCAGAAAUGCAAAGGAGAUGUGGUGUAAUAGGACUUACUUUUAAUCUUCGUUGGAUUUAUCAAAUACUCUGGAAAGAAUAGCUAUAGAGGGUGAUAGCCCCGUAGAUAAAUUCAGAAAGAUGCGUAAGUAUCCUGAGUACUGUCACUCGGAUAUGUGGCAGGAAUUUGGGAGGCAUUAACUUCCAACUCUAAAUAUGUUUUGAGUCUGAUAGCGUAUAAAGUACCUUGAGGGAAAGUUGAAAAGAACCUGUAACAGGGAGUGAAAAGAGCCUGAAACCUAGUGGAUAUAGUAAAAGUACUGCUCUUCGGAGUUGUACUGUACGUUUUGAAUAACGGGCCAGGGAGUUUCUCUAAGUGGCAAGAAUAAGGGUAUAAAGCCUAGUUUCUAAGCGAAAGCAAUUUAUCCGCAGCUGCUGAAGUGAGGGAUAUGGUAUGAAAGUGCCAAAGUCACUUGGAGAUAACCAGAAACCAGAUGAUCUAGUCUUGGAUAAGGUGAAGCGAGGUUAAUACUUCGUGGAAGCCUGAAGGUACUCUACGUGCAUGUGUUACUCUAAUCUGUGACUAGGGGUGAAAAGCCCAUCGAAUCUGGUGAUAGCUGGUUCCUAUCGAAAUAGGCCGCAGUCUAGUCUCAACAGAGAUAAUCAAGGGGGUAGAGCUACGGAUUUGGGGGUUAAGGGACGAAAGUCCUGGCUUCCUUGUCCAACUCCAAAUAUCUUGAUAUCGUAGAUGUUGGGAAACAGGGGCGCGCGGUAAGCGUGUGUCCCGAGAGGGGAACAACCCAGACUAAAGUUAAGGUCCCAAAAUAUUGGUUAAGUGUGAAAGGGUGAAAGGCGUGUUUAACCACAGACAGCGGGGAGGUAGGCUUAGAAGCAGCCAUCCUUUAAAGAAAGCGUAACAGCUCACCCGUCAAGGUUAAAUGCCCUGAAAAUGGACGGGGCUAAAACCAAUUACCGAUACUUUAGACUAGCCAAAAGCUAGGUAGUAGAUAGGCGUUCUGUUGGGGUAAAAGUUUGUCCAUAAGGAUAAGUGAACCCAAUAGGAAUGAGAUUCCUGGCGGUAGUAGGAUCAGAAUAGCGUGAGAAUCGCUAACACCGAAAGGGUAAGGGUUCCUUAGCAAUAUAAUUUAGCUAAGGGUAAGUCGAUCCUAAGUAAUCUCAUAACAUGAAAAUUACGAAAGGGAAAAAGGUUAAGACUCCUUUACUACUUGGGUACUCGGCAACGAAAGUCUAGUUUUAUAGUUUGGGGUUAAACCGACAUCUAUCAUCGUAGAUGUUAACUAGAAUAAAUCAGGUGAGUAUUGUAAUGAUGAGACCCUGAUUAAAUCUAGGAAUAGUAGACCUUGUGUCUAUUUGGUUGAAACCUAGAACCCGUGAAAAUAGAAUUAGGAUGAAUCCCAAGUAAUCGUACCAAGAACCAGCACUGGUACCCUAGGUGAGAAACCUAAGGUGUGAGGGAUAACCAUAGCUGAGGGAAAUCGGCAAAUUAGCUCCGUGUCUUCGGAAGAAGGAGUUCCUGCGCUCGUAUCUUUAUAGAUGCGAGUACAGGAUGCAAUAACAAGGGAAACCCGACUGUUUAACAAAAACAUAACUAAUCGCAAGCCUGCAAAGGUUCGUAUGGUUAGUGACGUCUGCCCAGUGCUAGUACUUAAAACCCUCAUUCAAGAGGGCUAAAAGCUAGUAAACGGCGGGAAUAACUAUAAUUCUCUUAAGGUAGCCAAAUGCCUUGUCGUUUGAAUGACGACGUGCAUGAAUGGCGUAACGAGGUUUCCGCUGUCCCCAGCUGUGCUCCCCUGAAUACAGCGUCCUGGUGCAAAGUCCAGGGAUUCCCAGUGGGACGCGAAGACCCCGUAGAACUUUACUGUAGCCUGUUGCUGCGGUAUAAUCUUCAUUGUAUAGCGUAGGUGGAAGUUGCGAUGAGCAACAACAAUGUAACACCACCCUAUGAGGAUUAUACUACUUACUUUAGCAAUAAAGGACACCAGCAGGUGGACAGUUUGGCUGGGGCGGCACCCCGCUGAAAAGAUAUCAGUGGGGCCCAAAGGUCAGCUCACUCCGUUUAGAAAUCGGGGGUAGAGUGCAAGAGCAAAAGCUGGCCUGACUGCAUUCAUAAACGCAUUAGAUGCAGAAACGAAAGUUGGGUCUAGCGAACCCCUAUGUCCUCCUUAAUGGGGGCUAGGUAUGACGGAAAAGUUAUCUCGGGCAUAACUGAGUUGUAGCGCCUAAGAGUUCAUAUCGACGGCGCUGUUUGCUACUUCGAUGUCGGCUCUCCCUAUCCUGGGCGUGCAGAAGCGCCCAAGGGUGAAGGUGUUCACUUAUUAAAAGGGAUCGCGAGCUGGGUUAAAUACGUCGUGAGACAGUAUGUAUGAUAUCUACUGGGAAUGUCUACUAUCUAAGAGGAAGGAACAUUUAGUACGAGAGGAACAAUGUCUCGGCGCCUCUGGUCAACCGGUUAUCUGAUAAGGUAGGCCGGGCAGCUACGCGCUAAGGGAUAAAAGCUGAAAGCAUCUAAGCUUGAAACCCACCUCAAAAAUAGAUAGAGAGCCCUUCU